UUAAUAAAGGGAAACCUCAUUUAAAAUGGAGUCAGGAGGCCAGAAGGGGGAGCUCCCACACAGUAACACUCAAGGUCAAUUACACGAAAGAUAGUCAAUUACAGACCCCAACAGAAAGAACUGAUCAAUUACAGACCCCAACAGA
Non-coding RNA from Ceratotherium simum simum (southern white rhinoceros), 145 nucleotides. Lineage: Eukaryota; Metazoa; Chordata; Mammalia; Perissodactyla; Rhinocerotidae. The record is from RefSeq and is a predicted model, not a curated record.